CCCAGGAGAAAAGAGGUAUGGUAUGUGU
RNAcentral lists this non-coding RNA (28 nucleotides) under Homo sapiens (human). The record is from RNAcentral. Lineage: Eukaryota; Metazoa; Chordata; Mammalia; Primates; Hominidae.